This 497-nucleotide ribosomal RNA is filed under the name uncultured bacterium. RNAcentral describes it as "partial 16S ribosomal RNA". It matches the Rfam family "Bacterial small subunit ribosomal RNA", at positions 28 to 507 of the family's 1533-position model. The record is from RNAcentral.
GAUGAACGCUGGCGGCGUGCCUAAUACAUGCAAGUCGAGCGAACAGAUGAGGAGCUUGCUCCUCUGACGUUAGCGGCGGACGGGUGAGUAACACGUGGAUAACCUACCUAUAAGACUGGGAUAACUUCGGGAAACCGGAGCUAAUACCGGAUAAUAUAUUGAACCGCAUGGUUCAAUAGUGAAAGACGGUUUUGCUGUCACUUAUAGAUGGAUCCGCGCCGCAUUAGCUAGUUGGUAAGGUAACGGCUUACCAAGGCAACGAUGCGUAGCCGACCUGAGAGGGUGAUCAGCCACACUGGAACUGAGACACGGUCCAGACUCCUACGGGAGGCAGCAGUAGGGAAUCUUCCGCAAUGGGCGAAAGCCUGACGGAGCCACGCCGCGUGAGUGAUGAAGGUCUUCGGAUCGUAAAACUCUGUUAUUAGGGAAGAACAACUGUGUAAGUAACUAUGCACGUCUUGACGGUACCUAAUCAGAAAGCCCCGGCUAACUACGUG